GUUACCCUGUAGCGUAUUGGAUAGCGCGUUGGACAUCUAAUCCAAAGAUCGUGGGUUCGAAUCCCACUUGGAAUA
This 75-nucleotide transfer RNA is filed under the name Trichonephila inaurata madagascariensis. RNAcentral describes it as "tRNA-Arg". The stretch from base 6 to 71 matches the Rfam family "tRNA". From Rfam's summary of the family: Transfer RNA (tRNA) molecules are approximately 80 nucleotides in length. Their secondary structure includes four short double-helical elements and three loops (D, anti-codon, and T loops). Further hydrogen bonds mediate the characteristic L-shaped molecular structure. tRNAs have two regions of fundamental functional importance: the anti-codon, which is responsible for specific mRNA codon recognition, and the 3' end, to which the tRNAs corresponding amino acid is attached (by aminoacyl-tRNA synthetases). tRNAs cope with the degeneracy of the genetic code in two manners: having more than one tRNA (with a specific anti-codon) for a particular amino acid; and 'wobble' base-pairing, i.e. permitting non-standard base-pairing at the 3rd anti-codon position. Lineage: Eukaryota; Metazoa; Arthropoda; Arachnida; Araneae; Nephilidae. The record is from RNAcentral.